This 584-nucleotide ribosomal RNA is filed under the name Exiguobacterium sp. RNAcentral's name for it is "bacterial SSU rRNA". It matches the Rfam family "Bacterial small subunit ribosomal RNA", at positions 105 to 677 of the family's 1533-position model. The record is from RNAcentral. Lineage: Bacteria; Bacillati; Bacillota; Bacilli; Caryophanales.
GGUGAGUAACACGUAAGGAACCUGCCCCAAGGAUUGGGAUAACUCCGAGAAAUCGGAGCUAAUACCGAAUAGUUCUUCAGACCGCAUGGUCUGAUGAUGAAAGGCGCUUCGGCGUCACCUUGGGAUGGCCUUGCGGUGCAUUAGCUAGUUGGUGGGGUAAUGGCCCACCAAGGCGACGAUGCAUAGCCGACCUGAGAGGGUGAUCGGCCACACUGGGACUGAGACACGGCCCAGACUCCUACGGGAGGCAGCAGUAGGGAAUCUUCCACAAUGGACGAAAGUCUGAUGGAGCAACGCCGCGUGAGUGAUGAAGGUUUUCGGAUCGUAAAACUCUGUUGUAAGGGAAGAACAGGUAUGAGAGGUAAUGCUCAUGCUAUGACGGUACCUUACGAGAAAGCCACGGCUAACUACGUGCCAGCAGCCGCGGUAAUACGUAGGUGGCAAGCGUUGUCCGGAAUUAUUGGGCGUAAAGCGCGCGCAGGCGGCCUUUUAAGUCUGAUGUGAAAGCCCCCGGCUCAACCGGGGAGGGUCAUUGGAAACUGGAAGGCUUGAGUACAGAAGAGAAGAGUGGAAUUCCAUGUGUA